UCUCCGUUGGUGAACCAGCGGAGGGAUCAUUACCGAGUUUACAACUCCCAAACCCCUGUGAACAUACCAUUUGUUGUCUCGGCGGUGCCUGCUUCGGCAGCCCGCCAGAGGACCCAAACCCUUGAUUUUAUACAGUAUCUUCUGAGUAAAUGAUUAAAUAAAUCAAAACUUUCAACAACGGAUCUCUUGGUUCUG
This 195-nucleotide unclassified non-coding RNA is filed under the name plant metagenome. Its description in RNAcentral is "partial contains small subunit ribosomal RNA, internal transcribed spacer 1, and 5.8S ribosomal RNA". The record is from RNAcentral.